Molecule: small nuclear RNA, 169 nt
Filed under: Sus scrofa (pig)
Lineage: Eukaryota; Metazoa; Chordata; Mammalia; Artiodactyla; Suidae
Description: U1 spliceosomal RNA (multiple genes)
Rfam family: U1 spliceosomal RNA
About the family: U1 is a small nuclear RNA (snRNA) component of the spliceosome (involved in pre-mRNA splicing).
Source: RNAcentral
AUGCUUAGCGUAAUCCUGGGAGAUACCAUGAUUGGGAAGGUGGUUUUCCCAGGGCGAGUCUUACCCAUCACACUCUGGAUGUGCUGAUGCCCAAGAUUUCCCCAGAUGUGGCGGGAAGCUCUACUGCAUCAUUUGUGGUGAUGGGGAACUGCAUUCUUGAUUUCCCCGG